CCUACGGGCGGCAGCAGUGAGGAAUAUUGGUCAAUGGGCGCUAGCCUGAACCAGCCAAGUAGCGUGAAGGAUGACUGCCCUAUGGGUUGUAAACUUCUUUUAUAUGGGAAUAAAGUGCAGUAUGUAUACUGCUUUGCAUGUACCUUAUGAAUAAGGAUCGGCUAACUCCGUGCCAGCAGCCGCGGUAAUACGGAGGAUUCGAGCGUUAUCCGGAUUUAUUGGGUUUAAAGGGAGCGUAGGCGGGUUGUUAAGUCAGUUGUGAAAGUUUGCGGCUCAACCGUAAAAUUGCAGUUGAUACUGGCAGCCUUGAGUACAGUAGAGGUAGGCGGAAUGCGUGGUGUAGCGGUGAAAUGCUUAGAUAUCACGAAGAACUCCGAUUGCGAAGGCAGCCUGCUGGACUGUAACUGACGCUGAUGCUCGAAAGUGUGGGUAUCAAACAGGAUUAGAUACCCUAGUAGUC
RNAcentral lists this ribosomal RNA (460 nucleotides) under uncultured bacterium. Its description in RNAcentral is "partial 16S ribosomal RNA". It matches the Rfam family "Bacterial small subunit ribosomal RNA", at positions 338 to 795 of the family's 1533-position model. The record is from RNAcentral.